ACGGCUCAGUAACACGUAGUCAACAUGCCCAGGGGACGUGGAUAACCUCGGGAAACUGAGAUUAAACCGCGAUAGGUCAAGAUUUCUGGAAUGGAUCGUGUCUUAAAUCUACAUGGCCCCUGGAUUGGACUGCGGCCGAUCAGGCUGUUGGUGAGGUAAUGGCCCACCAAACCUAUAACCGGUACGGGCUCUGAGAGGAGAAGCCCGGAGAUGGGCACUGAGACAAGGGCCCAGGCCCUAUGGGGCGCAGCAGGCGCGAAACCUCUGCAAUGGGCGAAAGCCUGACAGGGUUACUCUGAGUGAUUUCCGCUAAGGGGAUCUUUUAGCACCUCUAAAAAUGGUGCAGAAUAAGGGGUGGGCAAGUCUGGUGUCAGCCGCCGCGGUAAUACCAGCACCCCGAGUGGUCGGGACGAUUAUUGGGCCUAAAGCAUCCGUAGCCGGUUGUGCAAGUCCUCCGUUAAAUCCAGUCGCUCAACGGAUGGGCUGCGGAGGAUACUACAGGACUAGGAGGCGGGAGAGGCAAGCGGUACUUAGUGGGUAGGGGUAAAAUCCUUUGAUCCAUUGAAGACCACCAGUGGCGAAGGCGGCUUGCCAGAACGCGCUCGACGGUGAGGGAUGAAAGCUGGGGGAGCAAACCGGAUUAGAUACCCGGGUAGUCCCAGCUGUAAACGAUGCAGACUCGGUGAUGGGCUAGCCUCGUGUCAGCCCAGUGCCGCAGGGAAGCCGUUAAGUCUGCCGCCUGGGGAGUACGGUCGCAAGACUGAAACUUAAAGGAAUUGGCGGGGGAG
RNAcentral lists this ribosomal RNA (788 nucleotides) under uncultured archaeon. RNAcentral describes it as "bacterial SSU rRNA". It matches the Rfam family "Archaeal small subunit ribosomal RNA", at positions 85 to 876 of the family's 1478-position model. The record is from RNAcentral.